GACGUUAGCGGCGGACGGGUGAGUAACACGUGGAUAACCUACCUAUAAGACUGGGAUAACUUCGGGAAACCGGAGCUAAUACCGGAUAAUAUAUUGAACCGCAUGGUUCAAUAGUGAAAGACGGUUUUGCUGUCACUUAUAGAUGGAUCCGCGCCGCAUUAGCUAGUUGGUAAGGUAACGGCUUACCAAGGCAACGAUGCGUAGCCGACCUGAGAGGGUGAUCGGCCACACUGGAACUGAGACACGGUCCAGACUCCUACGGGAGGCAGCAGUAGGGAAUCUUCCGCAAUGGGCGAAAGCCUGACGGAGCAACGCCGCGUGAGUGAUGAAGGUCUUCGGAUCGUAAAACUCUGUUAUUAGGGAAGAACAAAUGUGUAAGUAACUAUGCACGUCUUGACGGUACCUAAUCAGAAAGCCACGGCUAACUACGUGCCAGCAGCCGCGGUAAUACGUAGGUGGCAAGCGUUAUCCGGAAUUAUUGGGCGUAAAGCGCGCGUAGGCGGUUUUUUAAGUCUGAUGUGAAAGCCCACGGCUCAACCGUGGAGGGUCAUUGGAAACUGGAAAACUUGAGUGCAGAAGAGGAAAGUGGAAUUCCAUGUGUAGCGGUGAAAUGCGCAGAGAUAUGGAGGAACACCAGUGGCGAAGGCGACUUUCUGGUCUGUAACUGACGCUGAUGUGCGAAAGCGUGGGGAUCAAACAGGAUUAGAUACCCUGGUAGUCCACGCCGUAAACGAUGAGUGCUAAGUGUUAGGGGUUUCCGCCCCUUAGUGCUGCAGCUAACGCAUUAAGCACUCCGCC
RNAcentral lists this ribosomal RNA (798 nucleotides) under uncultured Staphylococcus sp. Its description in RNAcentral is "SSU rRNA". It matches the Rfam family "Bacterial small subunit ribosomal RNA", at positions 88 to 873 of the family's 1533-position model. The record is from RNAcentral. Lineage: Bacteria; Bacillati; Bacillota; Bacilli; Caryophanales; Staphylococcaceae.